This is a long non-coding RNA of Platichthys flesus (European flounder), 2187 nucleotides long. RefSeq lists it as uncharacterized. The record is from RefSeq and is a predicted model, not a curated record. NCBI's taxonomy places the organism in Eukaryota, Metazoa, Chordata, Actinopteri, Pleuronectiformes, Pleuronectidae. The transcript has 3 exons.
AAAAGUUGAUGUGUGUGUGUGUGUGAGGGAGAGAUUUGAUAUAAUAGUCGCUGCUGCUGGAAUAAUUGCGCACUAUAAGAUAAACGGUGUAUUCUUUCAGGCAGGAUUUGGCACCGUCCUCAUCUAAUUCCCCCCCGUCAAAAAAACAAACAAACAACAACACACACACGUAAACAAAAACAAAGAAGAUAGAACCACCAUAUAAAAAUCACCUAUAAACCUAUUAGACUUUGUUGAUCCCACACAAGCAGGAUAAUCUUUGCUCAACGCACAGACAGAUCAGGGCCUGGCUGAUUAUUUGGAUUAGACUCCCGGAACAUCAAUCACGGGUAAUUCGAGCGCAGGGGGGGAAAUCGUGUAUUAAGAAAAAAGAAAAAGAAAGAAGCUGCAGCCAAGAAGUCUUAACAACUUCUCCCUUGCUCUCCCCCCCAAAGGUAACUAAUGUUUAAGAAUAAAACACAGAUAUUUUGCAGCUCUGUCUUAAAGUUCGUGGAUAUUUCCAGUGGCCUCUGCUAUAGUGGGACAAUGGAGGCUGCGGAUCGAUUUGCUACACCUUUUUACUGAGGCUCGUGGUGAAGGGGAGGGGCUCUGAAUCUACAAGAGGCUCCAUUAAUAGCCUACACUGCGUCCUAUAACUAUUAUCCUCCGUAAAGUGUUUAUAAAGGGCACGCAACUGGGCCAGUGUUAUCUUAAAUGAGGGGCAGGGGCUGCUCUGCAGGACAGGGGAGAGAAGGAGAAACUCCCAGGCUGGUUUUUAAUACCGGGUAACAGAGGGUGUGGUGAUAAUCACAACACAGAACUUGGAUGGCACGGGAAGUGGCUCAGUUCAGACUGGAUGCGCCCCCCCACCCCCCCUACUCCUGCAGCCGGACAAGGGACUCAUCCAGCCCCAUGGACGCUCCAGUCCGGGCUGGAGCUUUGGAGCGGAUCAUUUACAAGGAACUGGAUUACUAUACACAACUUCGGUGCAAACCGCCAGACGGUCCCACUUUAACCAGAGCUGGUGUGACGUGAGCACAGCCGGGAUCAUGAAGUGAAGGAGACCUGCAGGUUCUCAGAUCAGAUCUGCCACAGCAGCACCGGACGCCUUCACUUAUCCUCGGCAGACUGAAAUAAAGAGGAAUUCUCUCCCCACAGUGUCAUUCAAAUAAGUGAACAUUUGGAAUGACGAAGGCUCAACGCUUAUGACAAUUCCUCUGCUCGUAAUCUUGACUAAUCUUCAAUCAAUGAUGGGUCCCUAUCAGAUUCCACACACUCAUUGACAGGCUGAAUAUAAGAAUAUAUAAUAAAAAAUUAAUAAAGAGGAGGCUCUAACUUUGACAUGAGCUAUAUCUCCACAUCUAUCAGAUAAGACUGCAUAAUUAAAAUGCCAAAGUGUGAGUAGAGCGAGAGAGGGAGACGUCGAGGUUUUGAUAUAUUAUAGAGAUUUACUUUUCCACGACUUGUUUAAUGUGUAGACUUAAAAAAACGAUGUGUUGCUGUACUUUUGACAAUGCAAUUAAAGGUUUGUAAGCCCCGCCAUGCAUGAGCCUUUUUUUUGUGUGUGAUUUUGUCAGUUUUGGACGAAGGAUGUGGUGAAAAGCUGCGCAGCGGUGACAGACGCAAGUUUAUGAAAGGACGGGCGUCUCGGAGGGAUUGGAGGUGUUCUUUUAUAGAGGCUCCGAGCUGAAGGGAAGAGGAGGCCACUUCAGCUUGUUUACACGAACUAUGAAUCCGCUGUUCAGCAGGAUAUAUUUACUGUGUGUCUUUUAGGCAUGAGCUCCGUUACUUUAUCUGCACUUUGAGAGAAACCGCGUGACACAGAGGUUUCCCUGCCCCCUGGAGCGACCUUGAGAAAAAGAAAAAUCUUUGCCAAAAUCUACAGAAUAAAAUGACAUAUUUCACAUUUCAAAAAAAUACCUGCCUCCCUGACAUGCACGCUCGUUCGCUCUCCUCCUCGCGGGCCUUUUGUUUUCUUUGACACGUGCACUCCAAUUAGCAUUUUUCAGCCAUUAAGGAGGAAAGAGAAACGGCUAAAUGUUUGUCUCAGCCGGCACUUUUCUCCCACGACAGGACUUUUCUCUCCGAGGCCUGGUGGAGAAAAAAGAACGGGAGAAAGAAUCAACAUUUUUUUUAUUUUCAGACAGACUCAAUGUUAUAUCCUCGAUGUUAACAUUAUCUUCUUCACACAACAAUUACCAGCAGCUU